ACUCCUACGGGAGGCAGCAGUGGGGAAUAUUGCACAAUGGGGGAAACCCUAAUGCAGCCAUGCCGCGUGUGUGAAGAAGGCCUUCGGGUUGUAAAGCACUUUCAGUAGGGAGGAAGGUAGUGUAGUUAACACCUGCAUUAUUUGACGUUACCUACAGAAGAAGCACCGGCUAACUCCGUGCCAGCAGCCGCGGUAAUACGGAGGUGCGAGCGUUAAUCGGAAUUACUGGGCGUAAAGCGCAUGCAGGCGGCCUGUUAAGUCAGAUGUGAAAGCCCGGGGCUUAACCUCGGAAUUGCAUUUGAAACUGGCAGGCUAGAGUCUGUAGAGGGGUAGAAUUUCAGGUGUAGCGGUGAAAUGCGUAGAGAUCUGAAGGAAUACCAGUGGCGAAGGCGGCCCCUGGACAAAGACUGACGCUCAGAUGCGAAAGCGUGGGAGCAAACAGGAUUAGAUACCCCGUGGUAGACUGUCA
RNAcentral lists this ribosomal RNA (469 nucleotides) under uncultured bacterium. RNAcentral describes it as "bacterial SSU rRNA". It matches the Rfam family "Bacterial small subunit ribosomal RNA", at positions 335 to 802 of the family's 1533-position model. The record is from RNAcentral.